GACAAUAAGGAUAUAAUAGGAACAAAAAAAAAAAUUUAAAUACAAAAGUUUGAAUCAACAUGUCAAAGAUGGAUUGUGAUAAACUAGUCAAGGGACUUGUAUCAAUAAACAAUAAUUUGAGGACUAGACCCAAUUAUUGGUUGGAUUUUUGGACCUCUAUCAACUUUUCUAUAUAAAAAAAUCACAAAAUGUUACGUACAAGGGAAUUUUUGUCCAACUUGAAAUUAAACACACUUAAUUCAAUAGUCUCAAUCCAAAAUCACUUGAUAAAAUACUCAUAAUGAUUCCUCAUCAUAAUUAUUUAAUCGAAUUUAAUGGGCUGCUUUCGAGACUUGGCUCUCUUUCAAACAUGUAGGAAUGCUCCGGCCAAUAAAUG
This 376-nucleotide long non-coding RNA is filed under the name Prunus persica (peach). RNAcentral describes it as "long non-coding RNA (PPER_LNC005064)". Lineage: Eukaryota; Viridiplantae; Streptophyta; Magnoliopsida; Rosales; Rosaceae. The record is from RNAcentral.